AAGGCAAGCGCUGCGUGUCGAGGUCGUCACCACCUCGUGAAACAGUGGCAAGUUGGUAGUACACCUGCCGACGACAACUACGCACUCGCUGCCUAGCUAACCCCUAGGAACUAGCGACAUCCGUCCGCGACGCCUUCUAGCGGGGAGCGGAUGUCAUCCGAAGGCUGGCUCCCGGAUCGCCGAUCCGCCGUACCCGGGAGCGAGACCCACGUGGAUCUGGGGCGAGGCUUCUCCCGUCUUCGCGACAGGCCCGCCCGAGAUCGAGCGAAGACUACACACGUAGACGCGCCUGCUGGACGCCAUGCGGACGCGGGUUCGAUUCCCGCCGCCUCCACCA
This 337-nucleotide transfer-messenger RNA is filed under the name Gammaproteobacteria bacterium. RNAcentral's name for it is "partial transfer-messenger RNA". It matches the Rfam family "transfer-messenger RNA". Rfam says of the family: Bacterial tmRNA, also known as 10Sa RNA or SsrA, is named for its dual tRNA and mRNA-like properties. Its role is to liberate the mRNA from a stalled ribosome. Lineage: Bacteria; Pseudomonadati; Pseudomonadota; Gammaproteobacteria. The record is from RNAcentral.